RNAcentral lists this ribosomal RNA (117 nucleotides) under Aotus nancymaae (Ma's night monkey). The record is from RNAcentral. Lineage: Eukaryota; Metazoa; Chordata; Mammalia; Primates; Aotidae.
AUCUAAAGCCUUCACUCUGAACGCACCUGAUCUCGUCUGAUCUUGGAAGCUAAGCAGGGUCGGGCCUCGUUAGUACUUGGAUAGGAGACCGCCUGGGAAUACCGGGUGCUGUAGGCU